GAUGAAGAACGCAGUGAAAUGCGAUAAGUAAUGUGAAUUGCAGAAUUCAGUGAAUCAUCGAGUCUUUGAACGCACAUUGCGCCCCCUGGUAUUCCGGGGGGCAUGCCUGUCCUAGCGUCAUUGCUGCCCUCAAGCACGGCUUGUGUGUUGGGCCCCCGCCCCCCGGCUUCGGGGGGCGGGCCCGAAAGGCAGCGGCGGCACCGCGUCCGGUCCUCGAGCGUAUGGGGCUUCGUCACCCGCUCUGUAGGCCCGGCCGGCGCCCGCCGGCGACCCCAAUCAAUCUUUCCAGGUUGACCUCGGAUCAGGUAGGGAUACCCGCUGAACUUAAGCAUAUCAAUAAGCGGAGGA
RNAcentral lists this unclassified non-coding RNA (348 nucleotides) under soil metagenome. Its description in RNAcentral is "partial contains 5.8S ribosomal RNA, internal transcribed spacer 2, and large subunit ribosomal RNA". The stretch from base 1 to 120 matches the Rfam family "5.8S ribosomal RNA", at positions 35 to 154 of the family's 154-position model. The record is from RNAcentral.